Molecule: long non-coding RNA, 214 nt
Organism: Sinocyclocheilus rhinocerous
Lineage: Eukaryota; Metazoa; Chordata; Actinopteri; Cypriniformes; Cyprinidae
Exons: 2
Source: RefSeq, a predicted model, not a curated record
GACAAAACCUGACGGGCUUUUUGUGCUGCUAAUUGCCAGAAGACCAGAAGAACUUGCUACCCUGUGCAAAGAAAUGCAAGUACUGGCAGUGCAUCAGAUGGAGAGAUUGAAAAGUUCAUCAAAAGAUGGCUGCUGCUCACUUUGGACAGAGAUGGGGGAAGAAAAGAGCGGGCCCGAAUGCAAACAAAUUCUUCCAAAGGUAUGUUCCAAAUGU